GGGCAUCCUUGGGUGCAGUAUUAGGCUUAGGAAGCCUAUGAAUCCUGUCGAUUGUUAAAUCAAGUUCAGUAAACUUCAGUUUGACCGAAUUAUGCCUUUUAAGUAGUCUUAAAUUUGGUUGGACUGUAUCUGGAAUGCCCCGAAUUUGUAGGUUGUUCCUGCGACUUUGGUCUUCUAAGUCUGCGACUUUACAAUUUGCAGC
Molecule: non-coding RNA, 202 nt
Organism: Pelobates cultripes (western spadefoot toad)
Lineage: Eukaryota; Metazoa; Chordata; Amphibia; Anura; Pelobatidae
Source: the annotation of a GenBank genome assembly